Molecule: long non-coding RNA, 674 nt
Organism: Cucumis sativus (cucumber)
Lineage: Eukaryota; Viridiplantae; Streptophyta; Magnoliopsida; Cucurbitales; Cucurbitaceae
Exons: 3
Source: RefSeq, a predicted model, not a curated record
UAGUAACUUUUUAAGGUGAUGGGAAGGAAUGUGAAUGGCUGGAAUUGAAGAUUGGAAUGAUUCUACCAUUAAAAUCUCCAGAUUUGUUCACAAUUUAAUUAUUUUAUGGUUCAUCUCUCGAACGAUUCAUGUGGUUUGGUGACGGUUGAAGAAUGAUUCAAGGACAGGCUUUGGCUCGCCUCUUAAAUUUCCAAGAAUAGGUCCAACAAAAACACAGUUAUCCAGAUUUGUUCAGUUUCGUUUCGGUAAACGCUUUUAGCGGUUGAAGCAGUUAGAGCUCAAAAAGCAUGCGUUCGCCAAAUAGUUGCUUAACGCUCUUGAAGCUGCUUCAACAACUCGUCCUGGGAUUCCAGCCAUGGUUGCUACUUUUAGGCCAUAGCUCUCAGGGCAAGCUCCGGAGCGAAGGCGAUAUAGAAAAAUGAGCUCGUGGUCUUUGAAUGUGCAGGCCAUGUGUUGAAGCAUGACGUGAGGAUGGGAAGCAAACUCUUUUGUUAAAGGGUGAUAGUGAGUAGCAAAUAGAAGUCUACAGUUAACCUUUUCUAUCAAAUGGCGAAACACCUGAAGAACCGAUUUGUAGUCAUUUUAAUAUCUUUUGAUCAAUAAGGAAUUAUUUGAUCCUAAUAUGUUUAGGAGUCAUUUUAAAAUAAUUAAAAUCAUUUUUCAUUUCAAAAUCA